GACGAACGCUGGCGGCGUGCUUAACACAUGCAAGUCGAACGGAAAGGCCCUGCUUUUGUGGGGUGCUCGAGUGGCGAAAGGGUGAGUAACACGUGAGUAACCUGCCCUUGACUUUGGGAUACCUUCAGGAAACUGGGGUUAAAACCGGAUAGGAGCUCCUGAUGCAUGGUGGGGGUUGGAAAGAUACGGAGGUUGGGGAUGGACUCGUGGCCUAUCAGCUUGUUGGUGGGGUAGUGGCUUAAAAAGGCAUUGAGGGGUAGCCGGCCUGAGAGUGUGACCGGCCACAUUGGGACUGAGAAGCCACCCGGACUCCUACGUGGGGCAGCAGUGGGGAAUAGUGCGCGAUGGGCGGAAGCCUGAAGCAGCAACGCCGCGUGCGAGAUGACGGCCGUCAGGGUGUAAACCGCUUGCGCCUGUAACGAAGCGUAAGUGACGGUAAUAGGUAAAGAAGCACCGGCUAACUACGUG
Molecule: ribosomal RNA, 468 nt
Filed under: uncultured bacterium
Lineage: Bacteria
Description: partial 16S ribosomal RNA
Rfam family: Bacterial small subunit ribosomal RNA
Source: RNAcentral